GCGAGUGAAGCGGCAAAAGCUCAAAUUUGAAAUCUGGCGUAUUCUACGUCCGAGUUGUAAUUUGAAGAAGGAUACUUUGGGGUUGGCUCUUGUCUAUGUUUCUUGGAACAGAACGUCACAGAGGGUGAGAAUCCCGUGCGAUGAGAAGCCCGAUUCCGUGUAAAGUGCCUUCGAAGAGUCGAGUUGUUUGGGAAUGCAGCUCUAAGUGGGUGGUAAAUUCCAUCUAAAGCUAAAUAUUGGCGAGAGACCGAUAGCGAACAAGUACAGUGAUGGAAAGAUGAAAAGAACUUUGAAAAGAGAGUGAAAAAGUACGUGAAAUUGUUGAAAGGGAAGGGCUUGAGAUCAGACUUGGUAUUUUGUAUGUCUUGCUUUCGGGUGGGGCCGCUGCAGUUUACUGGGCCAGCAUCGGUUCGGGUGGUAGGACAAUUGCGGAGGAACGUGGCACUGCUUCGGUGGUGUGUUAUAGCCUUUGUAGAUACUGCCUGCCUGGACUGAGGACUGCGUCUUUUGACUAGGAUGCUGGCAUAAUGAUCUUAAGUCGCCC
Molecule: ribosomal RNA, 544 nt
Filed under: [Candida] sp. LCF-112
Lineage: Eukaryota; Fungi; Ascomycota; Saccharomycetes; Saccharomycetales
Description: eukaryotic LSU rRNA
Rfam family: Eukaryotic large subunit ribosomal RNA
Source: RNAcentral